GUGGCUCUGGUUGUGGUAGGGCCCUCGACCGAUCUUUCCUACCUUCAGAUCAGCGUCGGAUGAAUCUGUUGAGCCGACCUCGUCUGAUGAGAUCCUCGAUCUCAUCUCGAAGCUAAAUACACUCCUCCAUGUCGUGGCCGUGGUCACGAUGAUAGAGGCAGAACUUGUUAGGGUUAUGCUUCCUGGGGUGUGUGCGCAUCUUUUUUGACCUUGGCAGCUGCUC
Molecule: long non-coding RNA, 223 nt
Filed under: Elaeis guineensis (African oil palm)
Lineage: Eukaryota; Viridiplantae; Streptophyta; Magnoliopsida; Arecales; Arecaceae
Description: long non-coding RNA (EGUI_LNC066142)
Source: RNAcentral